UAUUGCACAAUGGGGGGAACCCUGAUGCAGCGACGCCGCGUGGGCGAUGGAGUGCUUCGGCAUGUAAAGCCCUAUCAGCAGGGAAGAAAGAAAUGACGGUACCUGAGUAAGAAGCCCCGGCUAACUACGUGCCAGCAGCCGCGGUAAUACGGAGGGGGCAAGCGUUAUCCGGAAUUACUGGGUGUAAAGGGAGCGUAGACGGUGAUGUAAGUCUGGAGUGAAAGGCGGGGGCCCAACCCCCGGACUGCUCUGGAAACUAUGUGACUGGAGUGCAGGAGAGGUGAGCGGAAUUCCUAGUGUAGCGGUGAAAUGCGUAGAUAUUAGGAGGAACACCAGUGGCGAAGGCGGCUCACUGGACUGUAACUGACGUUGAGGCUCGAAAGCGUGGGGAGCAAACAGG
Molecule: ribosomal RNA, 400 nt
Filed under: uncultured bacterium
Lineage: Bacteria
Description: bacterial SSU rRNA
Rfam family: Bacterial small subunit ribosomal RNA
Source: RNAcentral